Molecule: ribosomal RNA, 253 nt
Filed under: uncultured bacterium
Lineage: Bacteria
Description: partial 16S ribosomal RNA
Rfam family: Bacterial small subunit ribosomal RNA
Source: RNAcentral
UACAGAGGUCUCAAGCGUUGUUCGGAUUCAUUGGGCGUAAAGGGUGCGUAGGUGGCGCUGUAAGUCGGGUGUGAAAUUUCGGAGCUUAACUCCGAAACUGCAUUCGAUACUGCGGUGCUUGAGGACUGGAGAGGAGACUGGAAUUCAUGGUGUAGCAGUGAAAUGCGUAGAGAUCAUGAGGAAGACCAGUGGCGAAGGCGGCUCACUGGCCCGUUACUGACGCUGAGGCACGAAAGCGUGGGGAGCAAACAGG